UUAAUGAGGCGAACCGGGGGAACUGAAACAUCUAAGUACCCCGAGGAAAAGAAAUCAACCGAGAUUCCCCCAGUAGCGGCGAGCGAACGGGGAGGAGCCCAGAGCCUGAAUCAGUGUGUGUGUUAGUGGAAGCGUCUGGAAAGGCGCGCGAUACAGGGUGACAGCCCCGUACACAAAAAUGCACAUACUGUGAGCUCGAUGAGUAGGGCGGGACACGUGGUAUCCUGUCUGAAUAUGGGGGGACCAUCCUCCAAGGCUAAAUACUCCUGACUGACCGAUAGUGAACCAGUACCGUGAGGGAAAGGCGAAAAGAACCCCGGCGAGGGGAGUGAAAAAGAACCUGAAACCGU
This 350-nucleotide ribosomal RNA is filed under the name Escherichia coli. RNAcentral's name for it is "partial 23S ribosomal RNA". It matches the Rfam family "Bacterial large subunit ribosomal RNA", at positions 171 to 559 of the family's 2925-position model. The record is from RNAcentral. Lineage: Bacteria; Pseudomonadati; Pseudomonadota; Gammaproteobacteria; Enterobacterales; Enterobacteriaceae.